RNAcentral lists this non-coding RNA (31 nucleotides) under Homo sapiens (human). The record is from RNAcentral. Lineage: Eukaryota; Metazoa; Chordata; Mammalia; Primates; Hominidae.
UGGUUUGGUGCAGCCUGCAUAUACUGUAGGA